UGCCAGACUCCUACGGGAGGCAGCAGUGGGGAAUAUUGCGCAAUGGGCGAAAGCCUGACGCAGCGACGCCGCGUGAGGGAUGAAGGUCUUCGGAUCGUAAACCUCUGUCAGCAGGGAAGAACGGUCACUGUGCUAAUCAGCAGUGAAUUGACGGUACCUGCAAAGGAAGCCCCGGCUAACUACGUGCCAGCAGCCGCGGUAAUACGUAGGGGGCAAGCGUUAUCCGGAUUUACUGGGUGUAAAGGGAGCGUAGGCGGCAGCGCAAGUCUGGAGUGAAAUGCCGGGGCCCAACCCCGGAACUGCUUUGGAAACUGUGCAGCUCGAGUGCAGGAGAGGGAAGCGGAAUUCCUAGGGGAGCGGUGAAAUGCG
RNAcentral lists this ribosomal RNA (369 nucleotides) under uncultured bacterium. RNAcentral describes it as "bacterial SSU rRNA". It matches the Rfam family "Bacterial small subunit ribosomal RNA", at positions 329 to 690 of the family's 1533-position model. The record is from RNAcentral.